AGUGAACGCUGGCGGUAGGCCUAACACAUGCAAGUCGAACGGCAGCACAGUAAGAGCUUGCUCUUACGGGUGGCGAGUGGCGGACGGGUGAGGAAUACAUCGGAAUCUACUUUUUCGUGGGGGAUAACGUAGGGAAACUUACGCUAAUACCGCAUACGACCUACGGGUGAAAGCAGGGGAUCUUCGGACCUUGCGCGAUUGAAUGAGCCGAUGUCGGAUUAGCUAGUUGGCGGGGUAAAGGCCCACCAAGGCGACGAUCCGUAGCUGGUCUGAGAGGAUGAUCAGCCACACUGGAACUGAGACACGGUCCAGACUCCUACGGGAGGCAGCAGUGGGGAAUAUUGGACAAUGGGCGCAAGCCUGAUCCAGCCAUAUCGCGUGGGUGAAGAAGGCCUUCGGGUUGUAAAGCCCUUUUGUUGGGAAAGAAAAGCAGCAGGUUAAUACCCCGCUGUUCUGACGGUACCCAAAGAAUAAGCACCGGCUAACUUCGUG
This 492-nucleotide ribosomal RNA is filed under the name uncultured bacterium. RNAcentral's name for it is "partial 16S ribosomal RNA". It matches the Rfam family "Bacterial small subunit ribosomal RNA", at positions 29 to 507 of the family's 1533-position model. The record is from RNAcentral.